Long non-coding RNA from Ruditapes philippinarum (Manila clam), 2827 nucleotides. RefSeq lists it as uncharacterized. The record is from RefSeq and is a predicted model, not a curated record. NCBI's taxonomy places the organism in Eukaryota, Metazoa, Mollusca, Bivalvia, Venerida, Veneridae. The transcript has 2 exons.
UGUGUACAAAAUUAUAAAUAGACGGGUAUUUCCUCAAAAUUAUGUAAACAAAAUACAAGAAAUAGCGUAACCGGCGCCAGACAUCAUUACAGAAGUUUGUUUUUCGUGCAACCAUUGAACAAAAUUUGGAUACAUUUGAUUUUCUCAACAUGGUCAUUUAAGUAACUUUGUUUUUCAAGGAAAAGCGCACCUUCAUCGACAUAAUUUGCGAGAGAAACCAAUUUUCGCGAUCUAGAUUUACAGUAGCCUACUGUACAUCGGAAUAAAAGACAUUGACAGGACAAAUUUGUAUGUCUACUGUACUCUGAUUCAGACAACUCUAUAUCAUGUGUGAGGAAGAUGCACCUAUAAGUAAAGUUGAAGAGAAUAGAGAUUGUACUGUAUUUGAUAAAGUAGCCAAUAGUACACCAGUCUGAUCUGCAGGUGUCAAGACAGUUCAGGUGUCAAUAUGGGUAUAUGACCAAAACCAGAAAGAUGUGUUUCAUCCAGUGUUCACUGUUCACAGGGGUUGAAGAGCUUUGCUAGCACUUACAGCUACAGCUAGGCCAACAGAUUGUGCCAAAUAAACAUUGUGUACUAGGUACAUGUAUAAUAACCAUUAGAAAUAGUACAGUUGAACUUGAAGGCAGAAAAACAUAGAAGAAAUCAGUGAUCAAAGUAUCUGUGGAUCUGAGAGUGGGAAGUAAAUGUUAUGAACAAAUGUCUUAUGUGAUUAACAUGCUUUUACAGAAGAUAAAAUAAUGAUUUUGGACCUUUUUUAUUUAUUUUAAAAAUAAAAUUUGGGAUGAAGAGUUAUUUGACAUACUACUACACCAAAUAUCAAAUCAAGUCAUCAAUCAGAGUCAAAUAGCAGUCUUAAAGUCUUCAUAACUGCAAAAAUGUUGAAAUAUGGUUAGACUACAAUACUUGGACAGUAUGGACCAUCAUCAGUAUAUGAUCAAAUACCUGCAUUCAACAUAUUGAUUAAGUUUAAGUAACUUAGUGUUGGAACACUUCCUCAUGGAAUUAUUGUAUAGUGUGUAAUUUCAGGUCAAGGUUUUGUCCAGGUUUUGUCCAAAAUGAUAAGUUUUUUGAAAGGCAACACUGUCACACAUAAUCCUUUGCCAAAUUCAUGAAAACUACACAUGUAUUGGUGCUGCAAGUUGUGACAUUUGUCAGAAAGAUGUAAUGAUGGAAAUUGUAGAAAUUUAUUUUCACUGGUAUUUUGAAAUACAUGUGCAUGUGCAAUUUAAAUUUUUACACAGUUAUAUAAUCAGAAUAUUUUAAGUUUCCUUUCAACACUCACAUCAAAUGGCUGUACAUAGGUUUAAAAUUCUGGCAUCAUUUUCCAUGAAAUUUAGGUCUUUUCUUAUACAAUUUUGUAAUUUUUAACAUUAGCUGAUUCUUAAACUUUAAAAUUCACUGUGUGAGAUAUUGUGUAAUACAUUAAGGAUGUAACAAGUUGAAUUUUGUUGACAUCAUUUUCUGCCCACAUCAGGUACCAGUAUUUUGUGAAUGAUAUCCCUUUUAUAAAUUUGAAUUUAUAGGGUAUCGACAGUAUCUAUGUUAUUACUGUUGCUUAUUUAUAAAUGAGAUAGCUCUUUUAAUUAGUUAACAAUGAGUUAUGUCUAUUUUUUUCAUAGUCUUGAAUAAAUGUAGAUCUGCAGGAACCUAUGUUAUAAUUACAUUGUAAAUGAUUGCAUUUGAACUGGGGACAUUUGUUUCACAUUAGCAUCAUAUCAUAAAGAACAAGUUGCAUAAAUCCUGCAUGAUUAUAUUUGUUUAGGAAUAUGGUUCCUGUUCCAAAGUUAGAUUUUUUAAUUCAACUUGUAAUGUCUGAACUAACAGUUUUGCUUUAACAUGAAAUUAUUUAUGGGAUAUUUGUCAUUUAUGACAACAUAAUAAGACCUGCAGCCUUUCUUUAAAUGCUUUUAGAUGUUACCUAUAUGAUUUUGAAUUUUGCAAAAUGUAAGCAUUGAUGCAAAAUUAUAUCAACCCUUAGCCUGUAGAGUUUAUAAAUGGACAUGUCUGGCUUAUAUAUUUAAAAGUGUUUAUUAUCAUUUUGGGUACAUUAUUCAUCAGGAUGAAAAGUUAAAGUUAGUGAGACACUAGUGUGGAGCCUGUUCAGUCUCCAUAGCCUGGCUUUAUACUGCUGGCAAAGGCUAAUCACUUAGCUUAUUUACAAUGAAGCAUGAAAAUAGCCAAUUACACUGUCCUAUGGAUAAUGCUAAAUUACAACAAAAUAAUAUGACCUAUUUUGAGUAAUAGCCUCAUAAACCAGAUACUGUUCUGGCCAUCUUUUGGCACUUGUCAACAUAUUUAUAUAUAUAAUUAGCUCACAUGUCACAAAGUGACAUUAAGAUCUUUUUUGAUGUAACAAUGUGAAUGGGUAUCAUAAUUUCACUGAACAUAGUAACAAUAUGACUGGGUAUCCGAGUAUUAAACCAGUGCUGAAGGCACAAAUUGUACUUUAAAACCUGAAAUAUUCAAACAAGCUUAAAUAUACAUUGCCUACUCAAUAGCUAGAUUAUCCUAACCUAUAUAUAUUUAGUGUUCUGGUCAAGUUUGAUCUUGUUUUUCUAUUGUUACUAUUGGCUUAGGAUGUUAACUUCAUAGGAAAAGAUAUUUGUCAAUUUAUCCCUGUGAUUGUGAGUGACCUUACAGCCAACUUAUGUACUCUUAUUUUUGUUAUGUUUAUGUGAUCAACCCUUGAUACAUUAUAUUUUAGGACUGUGGUAUAUGUGUAUGUUAAAUCAAUAAAAUGUUGCAUUUGUAAUUUCAUAUUACAUAUUGUUUUGAGAAUGAAGACUUACAUGUACAGGUGUGAAAUAAAUUCAUUGAUGAUCUA